GACGAACCGUGCGAACGUUGUUCGGAAUCACUGGGCUUAAAGGGUGCGUAGGCGGGUUGGUAAGUCCGUGGUGAAAUCCCCAAGCUUAACUUGGGAACUGCCGUGGAUACUAUCAAUCUUGAAUAUCGUGGAGGUAAGCGGAAUAUGUCAUGUAGCGGUGAAAUGCUUAGAUAUGACAUAGAACACCAAUUGCGUAGGCAGCUUACUACACGAUCAUUGACGCUGAGGCACGAAAGCGUGGGGAGCAAACAGG
Molecule: ribosomal RNA, 253 nt
Filed under: uncultured bacterium
Lineage: Bacteria
Description: partial 16S ribosomal RNA
Rfam family: Bacterial small subunit ribosomal RNA
Source: RNAcentral